CCUACGGGAGGCAGCAGUGGGGGAUAUUGCACAAUGGGGGAAACCCUGAUGCAGCGACGCCGCGUGAGUGAAGAAGUAUUUCGGUAUGUAAAGCUCUAUCAGCAGGGAAGAAAAUGACAGUACCUGACCAAGAAGCCCCGGCUAACUACGUGCCAGCAGCCGCGGUUAUACGUAGGGGGCAAGCGUUAUCCGGCUUUACUGGGUGUAAAGGGAGCGUAGACGGUUAUGUAAGUCUGGAGUGAAAGCCCGGGGCUCAACCCCGGGACUGCUUUGGAAACUGUGUAACUGGAGUACAGGAGGGGCAGGCGGAAUUCCUGGUGUAGCGGUGAAAUGCGUAGAUAUCAGGAGGAACACCGGCGGCGAAGGCGGCCUGCUGGACUGAAACUGACGUUGAGGCUCGAAAGCGUGGGGAGCAAACAGGAUUAGAUACCCCAGUAGUC
Molecule: ribosomal RNA, 440 nt
Filed under: uncultured bacterium
Lineage: Bacteria
Description: partial 16S ribosomal RNA
Rfam family: Bacterial small subunit ribosomal RNA
Source: RNAcentral